GAAUGACAUCACAGGAACAAGCUAAUUUUAGUCCAGGUAAACACUCAUAGAGAAAAAAGAUCUAAUGUGCUUUAUUGCUCCUUCAAUCCAAAGUGCAUGAAUACUUUAUUAUUAAAGCUGGUACUUUACCCACCUGUUCACAUCCCCAAAUGGGUCCAAAUAUAAAGAUACAUGAUCUAUGUAAAUGCUAUAACAAAUCACAUGAUCCUCUCAUACACCAGAUGUAGUCAUGGUCGUAUCUGAAUCAGUGAACGUUUAGGAUUGCUUACAAUGAGUGUCCAGUGUCCCUGGUGGCAAUUGCCCCAGCAGCAACAUGUUUUACAAGGAUAAGAACAAAAACAUAGAACUUACACACACCGCAAGUUCAGAUAUCAAGAUACUGAAAAGCGUUUACAACAGGCAUCGAUACAGUCACCUACACGAUCAUUUCUGCCCAAGGAUUUUCAUGCCACGCCUACGUGGCAUCUGGAAAUGUCACCAGUUAAUCCGAACUCCAUUUAAACCGUAACACCCACUGCAAGCCCACCGCGGAGUCAACGCAGCAAAAAAGUGACGUAAUUAUAGCAAUUGAGUAAGUAGCUGCCCUGGAAUCGACUCAGUGUGGUUGCACCAUGGAGCCUUGUCCAGGCAAUAUACAAGCUGUGAAUCCAAAUCUAGCCCCUAUGUCCUUCACACUUUGGAUGCUCUAAAUGGUCACCUGUUGCUGACUAAACUGUGAGGGUGACUUGCUAGGAUGGUAAAGAACCUGUCACCUGUCCACCUGGGGAGAUUGACAACAUGACAGAGCAGCCCGGAUGCUGUCCGUUCAUAGAAGUGCUUCUAUUCACUUUUACAACAAUGAUUUUGAGAUCAGAGAAAAAAAGAGAUGACAACAGAGCACAGAUCACUUCAUGUGUUCAAUUGGGAAGUGUUAAGGUUUUAUUUCAUACUAUUUAGGCUUUUACAGAUUUAUUCAAUUGUGAAUAAUGAUAAAGCAGAAAACCAUAUCCCUUGUAAAAAUUCUAGUUGAUAUAUAGCAUUUUUUCCCUCCAUCCUGAAAAGUUAAUUAAGAAAUGUAAAUGACCGAGCAAGGUGUUAAACACAUUUUAGCCUAAUUAAUAGCAAAACACAUUGAUUCUGGUCUUCAUUUUGACAUUGUUCCAGGAAAAGUGAUGAAAUGUUGGUGUUGCUGGAGUUGCCUUUUACCAGCUUGUGCCUUUUCAGAAAUGUAUCUUUAUUUAAUCUGUUUCUAAGUAAAAAAGUUAAACCCAAACUACAAUUGGAUAUAUACACAUUCGUACGGAGUGUCAGUGGAUGUCAUAGGUCAGCUCAUUGAACAAAUAGCAAUGUCACACCAUGCAAUUAAUCCGCUCCUGUCAUACCAUAAUAAGAAAUACCCGACCCUUUCUGACGUGUAUUUUCCAAUCCAAUAGAAUCCAACCCUGUGCCACGUGUCCCAGGACUAUACAGGUAUGAGGGGCCGCAGGGCUGGUAUUAGACCCAGGAGCAGGACCACCAGGCUAGGGUGGAUGGCCCCCGCGUGAGCCGCCUCAGGCUCCGGUUCUGGGAUUGCGCAGUCCGUAUAGGGUGCCACGCAGGCUGCGUAGGCCAUGGCAUGGGCAAUGUAACUCUGCUCCUGGACCCCAUGGAAGAGGUGAGCCAUGGGGCCCUUGGCAAAGACGGCCACGUCCUCAGAACCAUGGGUCUCAGAGUCCAGAAGCACGGCGGACUGCUGAAUGUAACCGUUUGCAGCUGAAGGAGCGUAGGGCCAAGAGAGGUGCCAGGAAGAGGAGAAUGAAUAAUGUGUGCAGUUAUUUAAAUUGAAAACCUGACAGGGGAAACAAUGGUGACCAAGAUAGAAUAAAUAUGUAGUUGAUUUGGUUAAGACUUUGAUUGUUGCUGGUGUUAUAUGAUCAACACAUUAAACACACGUUAACAUUC
This is a long non-coding RNA of Esox lucius (northern pike), 1920 nucleotides long. RefSeq lists it as uncharacterized. The transcript is spliced from 4 exons. Lineage: Eukaryota; Metazoa; Chordata; Actinopteri; Esociformes; Esocidae. The record is from RefSeq and is a predicted model, not a curated record.